CACACACACACACACACACACACACACACGCAUGCGUGUGCGCGCGCGCGCACACACUCAGCCCAGCACAAGAUUUCCCUUUCGUUCUUCCCAGCCAGCCUCUCCCAAUGGCUUACCACAGUCAAAGCUCUCCCUCAUGACUGCAACUGUGUUUUUAUCUGAGCACAGAGCCAAUACUCAUUAUUGAAACCUACUUUCUGCAAUAGACCGACUUCCUUCAGCCGUCUUCUGUUUGCUCGACAAAUCCAGAGCACCUAGUAACAAGCGUCUUGCAAAAUGCUGGAAGUGCAGGAUGAAGAAGGCAGAAACAACCCUGCCCUCCAGGAGCUUACAGUAUCCAGCAGGAAAGAUAAGCAAAAAAGAGAGACAGAGUGCGAGUGGGGAGGGACAGAAAGAGAAGGAGACACAGAAUACGAA
This is a long non-coding RNA of Felis catus (domestic cat), 417 nucleotides long. RefSeq lists it as uncharacterized. The record is from RefSeq and is a predicted model, not a curated record. Lineage: Eukaryota; Metazoa; Chordata; Mammalia; Carnivora; Felidae. The transcript has 3 exons.